RNAcentral lists this ribosomal RNA (465 nucleotides) under Vreelandella stevensii. Its description in RNAcentral is "partial 16S ribosomal RNA". It matches the Rfam family "Bacterial small subunit ribosomal RNA", at positions 338 to 795 of the family's 1533-position model. Lineage: Bacteria; Pseudomonadati; Pseudomonadota; Gammaproteobacteria; Oceanospirillales; Halomonadaceae. The record is from RNAcentral.
CCUACGGGUGGCUGCAGUGGGGAAUAUUGGACAAUGGGGGGAACCCUGAUCCAGCCAUGCCGCGUGUGUGAAGAAGGCCCUCGGGUUGUAAAGCACUUUCAGUGAGGAAGAACGCCUGGUGGUUAAUACCCAUCAGGAAAGACAUCACUCACAGAAGAAGCACCGGCUAACUCCGUGCCAGCAGCCGCGGUAAUACGGAGGGUGCGAGCGUUAAUCGGAAUUACUGGGCGUAAAGCGCGCGUAGGUGGCUUGAUAAGCCGGUUGUGAAAGCCCCGGGCUCAACCUGGGAACGGCAUCCGGAACUGUCAAGCUAGAGUGCAGGAGAGGAAGGUAGAAUUCCCGGUGUAGCGGUGCAAUGCGUAGAGAUCGGGAGGAAUACCAGUGGCGAAGGCGGCCUUCUGGACUGACACUGACACUGAGGUGCGAAAGCGUGGGUAGCAAACAGGAUUAGAUACCCCAGUAGUC